This is a long non-coding RNA of Rhodamnia argentea, 527 nucleotides long. RefSeq lists it as uncharacterized. The transcript is spliced from 2 exons. NCBI's taxonomy places the organism in Eukaryota, Viridiplantae, Streptophyta, Magnoliopsida, Myrtales, Myrtaceae. The record is from RefSeq and is a predicted model, not a curated record.
CCGAGUUCCGAGACAUUUGUGCCCGCUCCGUUUCUCCUGCAGCGAACGCGAGAUGGAAGACCGUGCGGUAGCUGGGCAGCAUUCGCCGGCGGCAUCUGGAGCCAAAAACCAUCACCAGAGGAAUCGUGGAUCAUUAUUUGAAGCCGAAAGAACGAGCUGCGUGGUGGUGCCCCGAUCACUCCCGGUUUCUAAGCGGAACACUAAAGCUUGGGUGAUGCACGAGUAUCACCUAAAUGCCGAUCCUCUUUAGGACACUUCUGGAGGCCAGGCAGACUGUUCUUGGCGUUUUGAAGGUACACGAAAUGAGAAGGCCGAUAAUUAAGAUAUUCCUAGCAGGACUAUGCAGCCUCGUAGGUUAAAGAUGCCUUAAAGAAGACGAUCCACGUAUUUCUAAAAGACCAAUCCAAGCGACCGAAGACACUUGUGAAGCCAUAUUCAAGUUAGGUUUCUCCAUGCUUAGUGCGGAUUCACAAUGAGCUUUGUAUACCAGUAAAAAAAUCUUCUUACUGAGAAGCCCUUCAUUUCAA